AUGGAGAUUAGCGCUGGCCCAUCUCCAGCAACGUAUCCCUCUUCCAGUAGAAGUGGAAGUGAUGCAAGCGACACAAGCGAAUCCAGUGUGGAGAGUCUCUGUUCCAAUGACAGUUUUUCAUCGGAAGAAAGUUAUGGCCCAGAUCGUAAUGCAGCACGGUACAACAACAAUGGAGAUUAUUCUUGGGAUGUGAAAAUAAAUUCUGCUGCUAAGGCCAUGAAGAAUGUGUUGUUAAGCUGA
Molecule: non-coding RNA, 240 nt
Organism: Vicia faba (fava bean)
Lineage: Eukaryota; Viridiplantae; Streptophyta; Magnoliopsida; Fabales; Fabaceae
Source: the annotation of a GenBank genome assembly